This is a long non-coding RNA of Hordeum vulgare subsp. vulgare (domesticated barley), 755 nucleotides long. RefSeq lists it as uncharacterized. The transcript is spliced from 2 exons. NCBI's taxonomy places the organism in Eukaryota, Viridiplantae, Streptophyta, Magnoliopsida, Poales, Poaceae. The record is from RefSeq and is a predicted model, not a curated record.
AAACUGCAUGUUUGCUUAUAACACUAAUGUGUUAUUGUGCCUCCAAGUUUUGAGGUACUGUCAAAUUUCUGAACAGUUCUUCUCUACUUUGCAGAAAAUGGUUAUGUCCUUGUCAUGUGAUAGGACUGUAUGGGAUGUUGUAAUGAAUAACGAGGCAGUGCAAGAAUUUAGGAGAUCUUUCCACGAUGGUAUGUUUACACUGAAAUGUUUAUGAUGAGCAGCUCUGUUUGGCAUAAAACAGUAUCACAUAUAUCUGCUUACGGCGACAUGCACCCGCGGCGGUUUAAACGAGGCCAUCAAGGCAGAAAUCUAUGAUCCCUGGAGGGGCGAUGCACAGAGUAGGGCAAUCCAUCGACGACCGACCAUCGUGGUAUUGAGUAUGAUGCUCCGUUCCAUUCUACGCCCAGGUAUUCGGAUUCCAUCUUUUUAUUUGCUUUCAUGCACAAAGGCUACUUGAUCUUGAUAAGCUUCAGAAGAUUGCUGUAAAAACUGUACGAGUAUGUGAACGUGAGAAAUCAAGCUCUCCCAUAUGAACAUUCCUUGUACCAUUGGAUAUGACCCAGCAAGCAAUAUGAUUACCAUGCGAAUGAAGCGAAAGACAACAUUCUUGACAUUUGUGUUCAUCAAUAUCUCAAACGCAUAAGUAUGUCUUAGUUUGUAACAGAUAAUUAUCAUUGAUCUCUUUAUAUACAUUGUUGAUUACAUUGCAAAUGGACUGAAAUUCAAUUUUUAUAUACAUGUCUAAUUUUGGCAUC